GCGGCAAGGGGGGGGCUACUACAUGCAGUCGAGCGGACAGAUGGGAGCUUGCUCCCUGAUGUUAGCGGCGGACGGGUGAGUAACACGUGGGUAACCUGCCUGUAAGACUGGGAUAACUCCGGGAAACCGGGGCUAAUACCGGAUGGUUGUUUGAACCGCAUGGUUCAGACAUAAAAGGUGGCUUCGGCUACCACUUACAGAUGGACCCGCGGCGCAUUAGCUAGUUGGUGAGGUAACGGCUCACCAAGGCGACGAUGCGUAGCCGACCUGAGAGGGUGAUCGGCCACACUGGGACUGAGACACGGCCCAGACUCCUACGGGAGGCAGCAGUAGG
Molecule: ribosomal RNA, 334 nt
Filed under: uncultured Bacillus sp.
Lineage: Bacteria; Bacillati; Bacillota; Bacilli; Caryophanales; Bacillaceae
Description: bacterial SSU rRNA
Rfam family: Bacterial small subunit ribosomal RNA
Source: RNAcentral